GAUGAACGCUGGCGGCGUGUCUAAUACAUGCAAGUCGAGCGAACAGACGAGGAGCUUGCUCCUCUGACGUUAGCGGCGGACGGGUGAGUAACACGUGGAUAACCUACCUAUAAGACUGGGAUAACUUCGGGAAACCGGAGCUAAUACCGGAUAAUAUAUUGAACCGCAUGGUUCAAUAGUGAAAGACGGUUUUGCUGUCACUUAUAGAUGGAUCCGCGCCGCAUUAGCUAGUUGGUAAGGUAACGGCUUACCAAGGCAACGAUGCGUAGCCGACCUGAGAGGGUGAUCGGCCACACUGGAACUGAGACACGGUCCAGACUCCUACGGGAGGCAGCAGUAGGGAAUCUUCCGCAAUGGGCGGAAGCCUGACGGAGCAACGCCGCGUGAGUGAUGAAGGUCUUCGGAUCGUAAAACUCUGUUAUUAGGGAAGAACAAAUGUGUAAGUAACUAUGCACGUCUUGACGGUACCUAAUCAGAAAGCCACGGCUAACUACGUG
This 497-nucleotide ribosomal RNA is filed under the name uncultured bacterium. Its description in RNAcentral is "partial 16S ribosomal RNA". It matches the Rfam family "Bacterial small subunit ribosomal RNA", at positions 28 to 507 of the family's 1533-position model. The record is from RNAcentral.